Molecule: long non-coding RNA, 1171 nt
Organism: Malaya genurostris
Lineage: Eukaryota; Metazoa; Arthropoda; Insecta; Diptera; Culicidae
Exons: 2
Source: RefSeq, a predicted model, not a curated record
UUCAUAUGUGAACACUUUGACAGUAUAUCAAAAAAUAUCAGCGCACAUGUGAAUGGUAUUAUUCCUAUUCACGUAAAUCCGGUUAUGUCUCUGACAUUACCAGCCCGCAUGUUUUUUCAAUCAUUCAAUCAAUCCAUGAAGAUCAAUAGAGUCACGAUCUGCAAAAAGGAAAACAAAUAACGUAGCUGAUUAAUGAACAUAUUAUGAGAUGUAAUUUUACCGGCCUUGAAAUACAUUUCAACAUUAUCAUCGAUUACUUUCAGUCUGUGUUCCAUCCCAUAUCUCACAUAUUUUCACACCGCAAACACAAUUCGUAAAUAUUGCAAAUGCAUCCAGCUCCAGCUAAGUAAUUACGAGACCGGCAUACAGUGAUAUACCGAUGAUGCACUAAAGGCUUUAUCAAAUGAGUAUGAAAUCAGACAUUCCACCACCAAGUUAAGACGUCAUGGUGUGAACUGGUAUCGAUGAUAAAUAAUGAAAUCAGUGCCGGUUGAUUGAGAAACUACACGCCCGCUUGUGAUUCACAGUCGGAUUUUAUCGGACGCAACAUUUCAUAUCGGCGAGCUGAAAGAUACGCGAGAUUAGCUGCCGAGUUCUGUUACCGUGCGGUUACCUGAAUCAGUUUUCUUACGGAUCAGAUUGGCACCCGAGUCACACGGAAUCCGAAGGAUCGCGUCGAGUCUGGAUGCACUAGGAUGACCUUGCUGAAGCGGUGACAUAAAUUUCGAUUGUGUGGAUUCUGCAUCUACCGCGAGUUACUGAAGUAGCCUUCGAAGGAUAAUCGGUGCUGAAUUCGAAUCGCCUAUUAACAGAUAACAGAAAAAACGUGUGUGAAAUUAGUUACCAAUUCUACAGCAAACGAAAUGGGUGGCUGUUGCAGUAGUUCUGACUCGCAGGACAUCACAACGGUUCCCGAUCGUCCCGGUUUGCCGGAGGAGGCGCCGACGGGGGUUCCCUAUGGAUUGAGUGGCGGAGGCGGUGCUGGUGGGGCCACCGAUCAAAGCGUUAAUGGCUGAAACUGACGACGGUUGCGUCAUCAGAGAACGCUAAAAUUACAAAAUAAUUAAUGGUAAGAGCUAGGAUUGAAUUUUCAAGGUUUUCCCUGUCCGACACGAGUAAGACAGACGACCUUGUUUCGCAUUUGGAAGUAUUGAAGCUCUCAUGAAUUGAG